UGAACUUAAGCAUAUCAAUAAGCGGAGGAAAAGAAACCAACAGGGAUUGCCCUAGUAACGGCGAGUGAAGCGGCAACAGCUCAAAUUUGAAAUCUGGCGCAAGCCCGAGUUGUAAUUUGUAGAGGAUGCUUCUGGGUAGCGGCCGGUCUAAGUUCCUUGGAACAGGACGUCAUAGAGGGUGAGAAUCCCGUAUGUGACUGGCUUGCACCCUCCACGUAGCUCCUUCGACGAGUCGAGUUGUUUGGGAAUGCAGCUCUAAAUGGGAGGUAAAUUUCUUCUAAAGCUAAAUACCGGCCAGAGACCGAUAGCGCACAAGUAGAGUGAUCGAAAGAUGAAAAGCACUUUGGAAAGAGAGUUAAAAAGCACGUGAAAUUGUUGAAAGGGAAGCGCCCGCAACCAGACUUUGCGGCGGUGUUCCGCCGGUCUUCUGACCGGUUUAUUCGCCGCCGUGAGGCCAUCAUCGUCUGGGACCGCUGGAUAAGACCUUAGGAAUGUAGCUUCCCUCGGGAAGUGUUAUAGCCUCUGGUGAUGCAGCGCGUCUCGGGCGAGGUCCGCGCUUCGGCAAGGAUGAUGGCGUAAUGGUUGUCGGCGGCCCGUCUUGAAACACGGACCAAGGAGUCUAACAUCUAUGCGAGUGUUCGGGUGUCAAACCCCUACGCGUAAUGAAAGUGAACGGAGGUGGGAACUUUUUGUGCACCAUCGACCGAUCCUGAUGUCCUCGGAUGGAUUUGAGUAAGAGCAUAGCUGUUGGGACCCGAAAGAUGGUGAACUAUGCCUGAAUAGGGUGAAGCCAGAGGAAACUCUGGUGGAGGCUCGCAGCGGUUCUGACGUGCAAAUCGAUCGUCAAAUUUGGGUAUAGGGGCGAAAGACUAAUCGAACC
RNAcentral lists this ribosomal RNA (880 nucleotides) under Pseudocercospora rhododendri-indici. RNAcentral's name for it is "eukaryotic LSU rRNA". It matches the Rfam family "Eukaryotic large subunit ribosomal RNA", at positions 29 to 941 of the family's 3401-position model. The record is from RNAcentral. Lineage: Eukaryota; Fungi; Ascomycota; Dothideomycetes; Mycosphaerellales; Mycosphaerellaceae.